CAGGGUCCUUCAAAUAGUGUCAGAGGCAUCCUAGAGUUUGGCCCGGUCCAAAAGAAUCAAAACAGAGCAGAAACAGGGCCAUUUCCACGCGAAGUCACGCCCAAGCGUCGCAGGGAGGACUCUCGGGCGAGAAUUGAAGGUCAUGUAAGGCCUGGGCGUCAGAUUUGGACGACCAAGCUACAAAGUUCCACCGCCCGGGCGUCGAGGGCCACCACCCGG
RNAcentral lists this long non-coding RNA (219 nucleotides) under Vigna radiata. RNAcentral describes it as "long non-coding RNA (VRAD_LNC011213)". Lineage: Eukaryota; Viridiplantae; Streptophyta; Magnoliopsida; Fabales; Fabaceae. The record is from RNAcentral.